This 286-nucleotide small nuclear RNA is filed under the name Erinaceus europaeus (western European hedgehog). RNAcentral describes it as "7SK RNA (ENSEEUG00000022005.1)". It matches the Rfam family "7SK RNA". From Rfam's summary of the family: 7SK was discovered as an abundant small nuclear RNA in the mid-70s but a possible function has only recently been suggested. Two independent studies have found that 7SK RNA binds the CDK9/cyclin T complex (known as elongation factor P-TEFb). Lineage: Eukaryota; Metazoa; Chordata; Mammalia; Eulipotyphla; Erinaceidae. The record is from RNAcentral.
AGAUGUGAGGGCGAUCUGGCUGCGACAUCUGUCACUCCAUUGAUCGCCAGGGUUGAUUCAGCUGAUCUGGCUCCCUAGGCGGGUGUCCCCUUCCUCCCUCACCGCUCCAUGUGUGUCCCUCCCAAAGCUGCGCACCCCCUCAGUCAAAGAAGACGGCCUUCCCCAAAUAGAGGCGGACCAGUCUUCUUCGGUCAAGGGUAUAAGUAGCUGCGCUCCCUUGUUAGAACUUCCAAACAAGCACUCAAGGUCAAAAAUAAAAUAAAUCUGAGAGAGAGAGAGAGAGUUU